RNAcentral lists this ribosomal RNA (458 nucleotides) under uncultured bacterium. RNAcentral's name for it is "partial 16S ribosomal RNA". It matches the Rfam family "Bacterial small subunit ribosomal RNA", at positions 338 to 795 of the family's 1533-position model. The record is from RNAcentral.
CCUACGGGAGGCAGCAGUGGGGAAUAUUGCACAAUGGGGGAAACCCUGAUGCAGCGACGCCGCGUGAGUGAAGAAGUAUUUCGGUAUGUAAAGCUCUAUCAGCAGGGAAGAAUUACUGACCUUACGGUCAGCAUACGGUACCUGUCUAAGAAGCCCCGGCUAAAUACGUGUCAGCAGCCGCGGGAAUAAGUAGGGGGCACGCGUUAAUCGGGUUUACUGGGGGUAAAGGGAGCUUAGACGGCAGCGCAAGUCUGACGUGAAAUCCCAUGGCUUCACCAUGGAACUGCUUUGGAAACUGUGCAGCUGGAGUGCAGGAGAGGUAAGCGGAAUUCCUGGUGUAGCGGUGAAAUGCGUAGAUAUUAGGAGGAACACCAGUGGCGAAGGCGGCUUACUGGACUGUAACUGACGUUGAGGCUCGAAAGCGUGGGGAGCAAACAGGAUUAGAUACCCCGGUAGUC